GUGGCUGUAGCUCAAUUGGUUAGAGCAUCUGCCUGUGGAGCAGAAUGUUGUGGGUUCGAGUCCCACCAGCCACCCCA
This 77-nucleotide transfer RNA is filed under the name candidate division CPR3 bacterium. Its description in RNAcentral is "tRNA-His". It matches the Rfam family "tRNA". From Rfam's summary of the family: Transfer RNA (tRNA) molecules are approximately 80 nucleotides in length. The record is from RNAcentral. Lineage: Bacteria; candidate division CPR3.